Molecule: ribosomal RNA, 1498 nt
Filed under: uncultured bacterium
Lineage: Bacteria
Description: bacterial SSU rRNA
Rfam family: Bacterial small subunit ribosomal RNA
Source: RNAcentral
AGAGUUUGAUUAUGGCUCAGAUUGAACGCUGGCGGUAUGCUUAACACAUGCAAGUCGAACGGAAACGAUACUAGCUUGCUAGUAGGCGUCGAGUGGCGGACGGGUGAGUAACGCGUAGGAAUCUGCCUGAUAGUGGGGGAUAGCCCGGAGAAAUUCGGAUUAAUACCGCAUAAUCUAUUCGUAGUAAAGUGGGGGACUUUCGAGCCUCACGCUAUCAGAUGAGCCUGCGUAAGAUUAGCUAGUUGGUAGGGUAAAAGCCUACCAAGGCGACGAUCUUUAGCUGGUCUGAGAGGAUGAUCAGCCACAUCGGGACUGAGACACGGCCCGAACUCCUACGGGAGGCAGCAGUGGGGAAUAUUGGACAAUGGGGGCAACCCUGAUCCAGCAAUACCGCGUGUGUGAAGAAGGCCUGAGGGUUGUAAAGCACUUUCAAUUGUGAAGAAAAGUUAGCGGUUAAUAACCGUUAGCCUUGACGUUAACUUUAGAAGAAGCACCGGCUAACUCCGUGCCAGCAGCCGCGGUAAUACGGAGGGUGCAAGCGUUAAUCGGAAUUACUGGGCGUAAAGCGUGCGUAGGCGGUUUAUUAAGUCAGAUGUGAAAGCCCCGGGCUUAACCUGGGAACUGCAUUUGAAACUGGUAAACUAGAGUAUGGUAGAGGAAAGUGGAAUUUCUGGUGUAGCGGUGAAAUGCGUAGAUAUCAGAAGGAACAUCAAUGGCGAAGGCAGCUUUCUGGACCAAUACUGACGCUGAGGUACGAAAGCGUGGGUAGCAAACAGGAUUAGAUACCCUGGUAGUCCACGCCGUAAACGAUGAUAACUAGCCGUUGGGGGGAUUUACCCUUUAGUGGCGAAGCUAACGCGUUAAGUUAUCCGCCUGGGGAGUACGGCCGCAAGGUUAAAACUCAAAGGAAUUGACGGGGACCCGCACAAGCGGUGGAGCAUGUGGUUUAAUUCGAUGCAACGCGAAGAACCUUACCUGGUCUUGACAUCCUGCGAACUUUCUAGAAAUAGAUUGGUGCCUUCGGGAACGCAGUGACAGGUGCUGCAUGGCUGUCGUCAGCUCGUGUCGUGAGAUGUUGGGUUAAGUCCCGUAACGAGCGCAACCCCUAUCCUUAUUUGCCAGCACAUCAUGGUGGGAACUAUAAGGAGACUGCCGGUGAUAAACCGGAGGAAGGCGGGGACGACGUCAAGUCAUCAUGGCCCUUACGACCAGGGCUACACACGUGCUACAAUGGGAAGGACAAAGAGCCGCGAAGCCGCGAGGUGUAGCUAAUCUCAUAAACCUUUUCGUAGUCCGGAUUGGAGUCUGCAACUCGACUCCAUGAAGUCGGAAUCGCUAGUAAUCGUAGAUCAGAAUGCUACGGUGAAUACGUUCCCGGGUCUUGUACACACCGCCCGUCAUACCAUGGGAGUGGGUUGCACCAGAAGUGGCUAGUCUAACUUAGUGAGGACGGUCACCACGGUGUGAUUCAUGACUGGGGUAAAGUCGUAACAAGGUA